This is a non-coding RNA of Alligator mississippiensis (American alligator), 554 nucleotides long. Lineage: Eukaryota; Metazoa; Chordata; Crocodylia; Alligatoridae. The record is from the annotation of a RefSeq genome assembly.
ACCAAACUGACCGGUUGCACCUGCUACAGACUUUCCCUUGUUGGAUGGGAACAGCCAUGGGAUCCUUCCUGCUCUGCUUGUGUCUUCUCUGUGCCCUCCCAGGUGUCCUGUCUGCGGUCCAGCUGGUCCAAUCUGGCCCAGGGGUGGUGAAGCCUGGAGAGACCCUCACCUUGACCUGUGCCGUCUCUGGGUUCUCCAUCACUACGCAGUAUUACAGCUGGAACUGGAUUCGGCAGCCUCCCGGGAAAGGCCUGGAGUGGGUGGGGUAUGUCUAUCCCUAUGAUGGAAACACAGGCUACGCCACUGCUCUGACAAGCCGGACCACCAUCUCUGCAGACAACUCCAAGAACCAGGUCUCCCUGCAGCUGCGCUCCCUGACAGCCGCAGACACCGCCACGUAUUACUGUGCCAGGAACACAGUGACACAGAGCAGGGCCGAGGCAGCACAAAAACAGGAAGCAGGGUUUAAUCAGACCAGCAGAGUCCUCUUAUUAGAUAUUAGAAACAGAGUCUCACAUGAACUCAGCAGCUGCCGGUUCAGAACAGGGGGAUGA